Megalops atlanticus (tarpon) is the source of this 70-nucleotide non-coding RNA. NCBI's taxonomy places the organism in Eukaryota, Metazoa, Chordata, Actinopteri, Elopiformes, Megalopidae. The record is from the annotation of a GenBank genome assembly.
GGCAGUGUGGUGUAAUGGUAAUGAAUUGGGCUCAUAACUGAAUGGCUGUCGGUUCAAUUCCCCACUGCAG